RNAcentral lists this ribosomal RNA (498 nucleotides) under uncultured bacterium. RNAcentral describes it as "partial 16S ribosomal RNA". It matches the Rfam family "Bacterial small subunit ribosomal RNA", at positions 28 to 507 of the family's 1533-position model. The record is from RNAcentral.
GACGAACGCUGGCGGCGUGCCUAGUACAUGCAAGUCGAGCGGACGGAUGGGAGCUUGCUCCCAGACCGUCAGCGGCGGACGGGUGAGUAACACGUGGGCAACCUGCCUGUAAGACUGGGAUAACUCCGGGAAACCGGGGCUAAUACCGGAUAACUCUUUCCCUCACCUGAGGGAAAGCUGAAAGAUGGCAUCUCGCUAUCACUUACAGAUGGGCCCGCGGCGCAUUAGCUAGUUGGUGAGGUAACGGCUCACCAAGGCGACGAUGCGUAGCCGACCUGAGAGGGUGAUCGGCCACACUGGGACUGAGACACGGCCCAGACUCCUACGGGAGGCAGCAGUAGGGAAUCUUCCGCAAUGGACGAAAGUCUGACGGAGCAACGCCGCGUGAGUGAUGAAGGUUUUCGGAUCGUAAAACUCUGUUGUCAGGGAAGAACAAGUACCGGAGUAACUGCCGGUACCUUGACGGUACCUGACCAGAAAGCCACGGCUAACUACGUG